CAUGCAGGCGGUCGGGCGCGUUUUGUGUGACAGCGCAUGGCUUAACUAUGCGAGCAUACGAAAGACGGUCUGACUUGAGGGCUCGAGAGGGACACGGAAUUCCGGGUGGAGUGGUGAAAUGCGUAGAGAUCCGGAGGAACACCGAAGGCGAAGGCAGUGUCCUGGCGAGCGACUGACGCUGAGGUGCGAAAGCCAGGGGAGCGAACGGGAUUAGAUACCCCGGUAGUCCUGGCCGUAAACGAUGACCACCAGGUGUGGGAGGUAUCGACCCCUUCCGUGCCGGAGGCAACCCACUGAGUGGUCCGCCUGGGGAGUACGGUCGCAAGAUUAAA
This 332-nucleotide ribosomal RNA is filed under the name uncultured bacterium. Its description in RNAcentral is "bacterial SSU rRNA". It matches the Rfam family "Bacterial small subunit ribosomal RNA", at positions 568 to 898 of the family's 1533-position model. The record is from RNAcentral.